GCCCCAGUAGCUCAAUGGCAGAGCGCUCGCCUCGUAAGCGAGAGGUUGAGGGUUCAAAUCCCUCCUGGGGCU
RNAcentral lists this transfer RNA (72 nucleotides) under Microcaldota archaeon. RNAcentral's name for it is "Candidatus Micrarchaeota archaeon tRNA-Thr". It matches the Rfam family "tRNA". From Rfam's summary of the family: Transfer RNA (tRNA) molecules are approximately 80 nucleotides in length. Their secondary structure includes four short double-helical elements and three loops (D, anti-codon, and T loops). Lineage: Archaea; Nanobdellati; Microcaldota. The record is from RNAcentral.